Molecule: long non-coding RNA, 868 nt
Filed under: Sinocyclocheilus anshuiensis
Lineage: Eukaryota; Metazoa; Chordata; Actinopteri; Cypriniformes; Cyprinidae
Description: lncRNA (ENSSANG00000042150.1)
Source: RNAcentral
CAAUAUUUUCAGUGGAUAAAUCUGUUUCUCACACAGAGCUGAUUCAUUCAUUCAUUCUUUAGACCAGGGGUGCCCAACCCUGCUCCUGGCGAUCGACUGUCCUGCAAAGAUUAGCUCCAACUCUAAUCAAAGACACCUGCCUUUAAUUUUUAAGUGAUCCUGAAGACCCUAAUUAGUUGCUUCGGGUGUGUUUGAUUAGGGUUGGAGCUGAACUUUGCAGGACAGUCGAUCGCCACGAGCAGGGUUGGGCACCCCUGCUUUAGACUAUAAAAAAAUGCUGAUAAUAUGUAAUGGAGAGUUGACUCUGAUGAUAUCACUCAAAAAAGUGGUUCUCUCUGCUGGGCUACGGUGGUGUUUCUUCAGCCUAUUAAAGCUCCAGAUGCUGGGUGUGAAGUUCAGCUCUGUGGCUUUGUUCUUUGAAUCAGCAGAACUGGGGAACGGUUUGAUGACUUUUUCAAUAUAAAGAAAUAAGGCCUCUGAAUCCUAUAAAAGAACCUUUUGGAAUUUUAAGUCAAAAUUCAACACUAAUACUGCUGUGGCUUGUAAUUGCAUGGUCUGCUUAUGUCAUAUGGUGCACUUGAUUUGUAGCUUUAUGAAGACACUGCGGCCCCACCACAGUGUAUAAGGCAGAGUUCAUGAUGGCGUCACUGUGGGAUCAGACUCAAUGGGAGAGGAUGAUACCCUCAAUAAACCCGUCCAGGUGAAAGUUGUAAAAGUCCCGGGAAUGCUACAGCAGCGUGCUGCGAGAACCAUCAGAGACGGAGAAAACCCUUUAUGGGAGAAGCGCGGCUCCAGAGCAGGAGCUCCGGGAGAUCUGGGAACGUGCUAUCUGCAGGGCCCGACAGCGGAUACGGGCCCUGGGCUGUGA